This 245-nucleotide ribosomal RNA is filed under the name uncultured Falsiporphyromonas sp. Its description in RNAcentral is "partial 16S ribosomal RNA". It matches the Rfam family "Bacterial small subunit ribosomal RNA", at positions 524 to 768 of the family's 1533-position model. Lineage: Bacteria; Pseudomonadati; Bacteroidota; Bacteroidia; Bacteroidales; Porphyromonadaceae. The record is from RNAcentral.
UACGGAGGAUGCGAGCGUUAUCCGGAUUUAUUGGGUUUAAAGGGUGCGCAGGCGGCUUGCUAAGCGGGAGGUGAAAUGCCGGCGCUCAACGUCGGAAGUGCCUCCCGAACUGGUAGGCUGGAAUGGCCCUGCCGUGGGAGGAAUGUGUGGUGUAGCGGUGACAUGCAUAGAGAUCACACAGAACACCGAUUGCGAAGGCAUCUCACGAAGGGCUGAUUGACGCUGAGGCACGAAAGCGUGGGUAG